GUGUCACCAGAGAGGAAAAGAAUAUCCUUGCUGUGCCAAGAAAGAAAAGACCAUGGAUCUACUAGUUGCAGAUUUCAGCAGUAAUGCCAAGGGGGCAAGAAGUGACCAGCAGAACAAUUAGGCCAUGGCAACAGAAGCCAACUACAACCCAUGUUCCAAUCUAUGACCUCCCUCUCCUGCUGGUACAAGGAUAUGAAUGUGGCUGUAGCAUCAUUUUUGGAAGCCAGAAUGGUAAUACUGAAAAUCACUGCUUGUCUCAAGAUCCAACUUCUGGAAAUCUCAACCAUUCUGAAUACAGCCAUCAUUCUUAAAAUUGAAGAGAACUGUUUUACAAGAUCUUGACUUGUAAAGAAACCAAGUUUAUUAAGUAUUCCUUAGAGCAAAGGAUGCAAUGUCAAGCAAGUUGUGAUACCUCAACUAUCUACAAUUUAACACCAAGGAAAGAACACUGUUUGGAGAAAUGAGAAAGAUUAUCAUCAGUGUCUUUCAGAAGUCAUCAAAAGAAGAAAAGGAGAAAAGAGAGGAGAAAGCAGAAAGAUCUGGAGUCUGGGAAGUUCAAGAGCAUGGCACCAACAUCUGGCAAGGGCUUUCAUUCUGCAUCAUCUCAUGGAGGAAAAUAAAAAGGCAAGUGAGUGUGAGAGAGCAAGAGAGCAAGAAAAGGAAAGGGGGUCAAACUCACCCUUUUAUCACGAAAACACUCUAUCGAUAACAGCAUUGAUCCAUUCAUGAGGGAAGACCCCUCAUGUCCUAGUCACCUCUUAAAGGUCCAACCUUUCAACACUGGUUGCAUUGGGGAUUAAGUUUCAACACAUGCUUUUUGGGUGGCAUAAUUAAACCAUAACACACUUGUUAUUAGGUCAGGAGAUUUCCCAAGGUCAGAACAGUGACAGAGCUAAGCCCUGAACUUUUGUGACCUUCAAACCAGGAUUGUUUCCACAAUUUGUCAUACAUGGAUAUUUAGAACAUACUUUAGAAGUGGAGGAAAGAAUAAAAUAAUUUGAAGAUGGAGUACCCAAAAGCUGUGCCAGACAAGUCCAUUGAAACUGUCCUUCACCCAAAUUUGAAUUAAAAAAAUUGUUUUUGCAUUGUGUGA
Molecule: long non-coding RNA, 1093 nt
Filed under: Homo sapiens (human)
Lineage: Eukaryota; Metazoa; Chordata; Mammalia; Primates; Hominidae
Description: long intergenic non-protein coding RNA 1539
Source: RNAcentral